Long non-coding RNA from Oncorhynchus masou masou (cherry salmon), 1153 nucleotides. RefSeq lists it as uncharacterized. The transcript has 3 exons. The record is from RefSeq and is a predicted model, not a curated record. NCBI's taxonomy places the organism in Eukaryota, Metazoa, Chordata, Actinopteri, Salmoniformes, Salmonidae.
UAACACUUUUCCAAUGGACACCACAGUGAGUCAAGGCUCUGAGAGAAACCUUAAGGCCAUUUGUAUUGUGUGGAACCAGGGUUGCCCUCUGAGUUCUGUCUGACUGGCAGGGGUCACGGAGAGACAGGCCUCAUUCUGCCGUUGUGGAUUUGGAUGAACUUUCUCUGAGGUGCACAAUUGAGAGCAUCUUGUCGGGCUGUAUCACCGCCUGGUAUGGCAACUGCAGAGCCCACAACCGCAGGGCUCUCCAGAGGGUAGUGAGGUCUGCACAACGCAUCACCGGGGGAAAACUGCCUGCCCUCCAGGACACCUACACCACCCGAUGUUACAGGAAGGCCAUAAAGAUCAUCAAGGACCUCGGCCACCCGAGCCGCUAGCUGUUCACCCCACUAUCCUCCAGAAGGUGAUGUCAGCACAGGUGCAUCAAAGCUGGGACCGAGAGACUGAAAAACAGCUUCUAUCUCAAGGCCAUCAGACAGUGUCUCCUGACCCCUCCUGUCUCAGCCUCCAGUAUUUAUGCUGCAGUAGUUUAUGUGUUGGGGGUCUAGGUUUCAACUCCCCUCCCAGAGGACCUGAGCCCGAGGACCAUGCCUCAGGACUACCUGGCCUGAUGACUCCAUGCUGUCCCCAGUCCACCUGGCCCUAGGACCAUGCCUCAGGACUACCUGGCCUGAUGACUCCAUGCUGUCCCCAGUCCACCUGGCCCUAGGACCAUGCCUCAGGACUACCUGGCCUGAUGACUCCAUGCUGUCCCCAGUCCACCUGGCCCUAGGACCAUGCCUCAGGACUACCUGGCCUGAUGACUCCAUGCUGUCCCCAGUCCACCUGGCCCUAGGACCAUGCCUCAGGACUACCUGGCCUGAUGACUCCAUGCUGUCCCCAGUCCACCUGGCCCUAGGACCAUGCCUCAGGACUACCUGGCCUGAUGACUCCAUGCUGUCCCCAGUCCACCUGGCCCUGGGACCAUGCCUCAGGACUACCUGGCCUGAUGACUCCAUGCUGUCCCCAGUCCACCUGGCCCUAGGACCAUGCCUCAGGACUACCUGGCCCGAUGACUCCAUGCUGUCCCCAGUCCACCUGGCCCUGGGACCAUGCCUCAGGACUACCUGGCCUGAUGACUCCAUGCUGUCCCCAGUCCACCUGGCCGUGCUGC